Molecule: ribosomal RNA, 459 nt
Filed under: uncultured bacterium
Lineage: Bacteria
Description: partial 16S ribosomal RNA
Rfam family: Bacterial small subunit ribosomal RNA
Source: RNAcentral
CUACGGGAGGCUCCAGUAAGGAAUAUUGCGCAAUGGAGGCAACUCUGACGCAGCCAUGCCGCGUGCAGGAAGAAGGCCUUAUGGGUCGUAAACUGCUUUUAUUUAGGAAUAAACCCCCGAACGUGUUCGGGGCUGAAGGUACUAAACGAAUAAGCACCGGCUAACUCCGUGCCAGCAGCCGCGGUAAUACGGAGGGUGCAAGCGUUAUCCGGAUUUAUUGGGUUUAAAGGGUGCGCAGGCGGGCUAUUAAGUCAGUGGUGAAAUCCCGGGGCUCAACUCCGGAACUGCCAUUGAUACUGAUAGUCUUGAGUUUGGUUGAAGUGGGCGGAAUGUAGCAUGUAGCGGUGAGAUGCAUAGAUAUGCUACAGAACACCAAUCGCGAAGGCAGCUCACUAAGCCAAAACUGACGCUCAUGCACGAAAGCGUGGGGAUCAAACAGGAUUAGAUACCCUAGUAGUC